GGGGAGCGGGAGAUGAGGAGGGACGGGGCUGGAGCGGCUGGGGUGCGGGCCCGGGAGGCGGCACGGGGCGUCGGGCAAGGGGACGGGGCCCAUACACGGGGAUAGAGAUCCCAGACAAGGGGACGGGACCCCAUACAGGCAGUUAGGGUCCCAUACAAGGGGUUAAGGGUCCCAUACAAGGGGACUGGGUUCCAUACAGGGGGUUAGGGUCCUGGACGAGGGGAUGGGACCCCAUAGAAGGGGACAGGGUCCUGGACAAGGGGACGGGGCCCUUGCAAGGGGUUAGGGUCCCAGACAAGGGGACAGGACCCCAUACAGGUAGUUAGGGCCCCAUACAAGGGGACGGGUCCCAUACAAGGGGUUAGGGGUCCCAUACAAGGGGACGGGUCCCAUACAAGGGGUUAGGGGUCCCAUACAAGGGGAUGGGACCCCAUACAAGGGGAUGGGGUCCUGGACAAGGGGACGGGGUCCUGGACAAGGAGACAGGACCUUUACAAGAGGUUAGGGUC
Long non-coding RNA from Cygnus olor (mute swan), 509 nucleotides. RefSeq lists it as uncharacterized. The transcript is spliced from 3 exons. NCBI's taxonomy places the organism in Eukaryota, Metazoa, Chordata, Aves, Anseriformes, Anatidae. The record is from RefSeq and is a predicted model, not a curated record.